AGAGUUUGAUCAUGGCUCAGGAUGAACGCUGGCGGCGUGCCUAACACAUGCAAGUCGAGCGAUUCUCUUCGGAGAAGAGCGGCGGACGGGUGAGUAACGCGUGGGUAACCUGCCCUGUACACACGGAUAACAUACCGAAGGGUAUGCUAAUACGAGAUAAUAUACUUUUAUCGCAUGGUAGAAGUAUCAAAGCUCCGGCGGUACAGGAUGGACCCGCGUCUGAUUAGCUAGUUGGUAAGGUAACGGCUUACCAAGGCGACGAUCAGUAGCCGACCUGAGAGGGUGAUCGGCCACAUUGGAACUGAGACACGGUCCAAACUCCUACGGGAGGCAGCAGUGGGGAAUAUUGCACAAUGGGCGAAAGCCUGAUGCAGCAACGCCGCGUGAGCGAUGAAGGCCUUCGGGUCGUAAAGCUCUGUCCUCAAGGAAGAUAAUGACGGUACUUGAGGAGGGAGCCCCGGCUAACUACGUGCCAGCAGCCGCGGUAAUACGUAGGGGGCUAGCGUUAUCCGGAAUCACUGGGCGUAAAGGGUGCGUAGGUGGUUUCUUAAGUCAGAGGUGAAAGGCUACGACUCAACCGUAGUAAGCCUUUGAAACUGGGAAACUUGAGUGCAGGAGAGGAGAGUGGAAUUCCUAGUGUAGCGGUGAAAUGCGUAGAUAUUAGGAGGAACACCAGUUGCGAAGGCGGCUCUCUGGACUGUAACUGACACUGAGGCGCGAAAGCGUGGGGAGCAAACAGGAUUAGAUACCCUGGUAGUCCACGCCGUAAACGAUGAGUACUAGCUGUCGGAGGUUACCCCCUUCGGUGGCGCAGCU
Molecule: ribosomal RNA, 816 nt
Filed under: uncultured bacterium
Lineage: Bacteria
Description: bacterial SSU rRNA
Rfam family: Bacterial small subunit ribosomal RNA
Source: RNAcentral